AUGGACACGUUGAAAACGUUAAUCCACCUACAGGCUGGGAGGCAAGAGGAACAAGUUUUCCACACGAGUAGAGAUGUGGGGUGGAUCAACAUCUCCUUGGCUUUGCCUGGUGAGGAUCUGGAGUCUUUUUGGAGGCAUCAACUCCCCCUUUGCAAACUAAAACGAUCUGGGUGUAUUUUUCCCGACUGUAACCUUGUCUUUGGCCACUGCACUGGGACCUGGGAAGAUGCAAAGCUCUCCAUGCCCAACUUCAGGUAAUUCCCAAUAUCUUGCAAAACUGGAGCAGCUGAGCUUGGGGUUUUUCCCAACCCACCUGCACAGCCAAAACUGAAUUUCCCAAGACUCUGAGCUGCAUCCCAUGAGGAUGAUCUUGUAAUUCCUCUCUUCAGGUGUGUUGUUACAUUCCCUCCCUCAAAUCCAUUGCUCCCACAUUUACUGUCACAGUGGGUGGCUACAAUGGUGACAAAGAACUGGGCAAAGGGAAAAAUUCCCAUGACUCAGAUUCCAUAGGUGUGGUGCUUUGCCAAAACCCUUUCAUUUCCAGAAGCAAAACACCUGAUAAACGUGGUUAUGAAAAUAUCCUCCAGGUUUGGGGUUGUUUUCCUCCCCUAAAAGUGUUAUUUCCACUUUCUGUCCCUUUUUAAUGAAAAGCAGCAAACAGCUGUUGAGAGGUAACAACAUCCCAGACCUCUGCUUUCAUGCAUCAGCGUGCCCAAGGAUAUGGAAAUCUUUAAUGGAAUAAAAGAUAUUCUUAGAAAAUGGACUCUCA
This 769-nucleotide long non-coding RNA is filed under the name Lepidothrix coronata (blue-crowned manakin). RNAcentral describes it as "lncRNA (ENSLCOG00000005142.1)". The record is from RNAcentral. Lineage: Eukaryota; Metazoa; Chordata; Aves; Passeriformes; Pipridae.